AAUCAGCGUGACCCAAAUCAUGAGGGUAUCUACAGUUCACUGUGCGAGAGGUAUCUUUAAGAGAUUUAAGUUAAGUGCUCAAAUAAAGAGAUUCAUAUCAAUCGAAUUGAAGCGUCCUCGAAAUGUAGAAGCACUAAGAAAUAUUUGUGUCCCUAAUUUUGGAAAUAAGAAGCAUUCUAGUGUCAAGAAGUGAUUCCCAUCAUCUUAAUCACAUCUCAGUUACGCAUUAGGUCAAACUAGCAACUGAUCAUUAUUCUUUGAAAUUUUUAAUGAACUUAGAGAAGUAGGAAGAUCUUUGCCUGUAACUAUUUAAGUUUUUGGUCAAUUUUAAAAGUUAAAUCAUUCGUUCAUUGAAACUUUCUUGUCUUUAAUCAAUAAUGAUAGAAUGGCCACCUCUGCAAGAAAUCCCGUCGAACAAAGUGAAAAGCCUCUCUACAGAGGCGGGUUAGCCAAUACCUAUUCCUUCUUUAUAUUUUUUGAAAGACAAGAUCGGCUUUUUUUUUCAGUAAUUUAUAACUGUUAUUUUCUUCUAUCAGUGCUGAAAGCGGGAAGACAGCUGAUGCACGAGUGUAUGAAAGUUUGAAUCAGCGUGACCCAAAUCGUGAUGAAGGCAUCUACAGUUCACUGUGCGAGAGGAUGCCUUUAACUUGAAAAAGUUCCAAGGAGCCUGUUACAAGGAAUGACACCUCUUAAUACUACAUGUAACUUUUUCUUAUGUUUAUUUCUACAAUCAGAGACAAGAAUCGAAGACUUGCAAUACAACUGCUAAUUAUAGUUUUGGAGAAAAAUUAGAUACGGAAAGGAGAAAAUUGAUCAAGCAUUUUAACAUAUUGUACCUUCUCAAGAAUCUCCCGAUAUUUCCUCUUUUUGAACAUUUGAAUAAGAGCUUUUCUUCCUUAAAAGAAAAUCAACAUUUGUUCCAACAUUAAAUUUCACAGUUUUAUGGCAAGUCUUGAGUUAUAUUCAUGUAAAUUAAUAUCAAUUAUGACAAUAGUACCGAUAGAAGUAAUGUCAAUGUUAGUAACAUAAAUAAAAACAAUAAGAAGUAAAGUAAAAGCAAUAAUAAAAAUAAUGCACAGGUAGAGUUGAGGUUUUUUUUUCCUACGCAGAAAUUUGGUUAUUGAAAAUACUACUGUGAAGUAACCAGAAGCUAAUGAAAUUCUGGCAAGUUCUGUUGUACAUGUACCUCAUGUGAAGCCUUUAACCUUAUAACUCUCAUUAGUCAUCAAGACAUAAUGUCUCUUCACAAUAUCAACUCGAUAUCAAGCAGAGAAGUGGUGAAAAUAAAGAAAAAUAUAAAUUAAGGGAGUCUUAGUUGAUCCAAUACCAAAUUCUUCAAACUAACAUCAUAAGGAUUUUAUGGCAGACAUUAAGGAGAAACAUUAAUGAGAUCUAGACACCAAAAGCAUAUUCAAGAGUGGCUCAUGGAGAUACUGUGACACUUAAAAUGGAGUUAGUAAUGCAAAGUUCACAAAUAAAGCAUGAGUUCAUACAAAAUAAUUUAAAAACAAUGUACAUAAAAACAAAAUAAA
Molecule: non-coding RNA, 1532 nt
Organism: Pocillopora verrucosa
Lineage: Eukaryota; Metazoa; Cnidaria; Anthozoa; Scleractinia; Pocilloporidae
Source: RefSeq, a predicted model, not a curated record